RNAcentral lists this long non-coding RNA (209 nucleotides) under Elaeis guineensis (African oil palm). RNAcentral describes it as "long non-coding RNA (EGUI_LNC054604)". The record is from RNAcentral. Lineage: Eukaryota; Viridiplantae; Streptophyta; Magnoliopsida; Arecales; Arecaceae.
UGUGAAAUACCAUGGGUUAAGGGGUGGAAUAAGAGGUCUUUAACAAGUGGAAGGACUCUUCCUCUACUAGAAAAAAUCAGAACACCAAAAUAUGGCAUGUGGAAAGGGAGAACGCAUGAAAUACCAAGAGUCCAUUAAAUUAAGGACUCUUCCAUAUCUCAUCGCACAAAAGGAGCAUCCCAUUUAUUUUGACAUUCAAGGUCCUUGCC